GACGAACGCUGGCGGCGUGCUUAACACAUGCAAGUCGAACGGAAAGGCCCUGCUUGCAGGGUGCUCGAGUGGCGAACGGGUGAGUAACACGUGGGUGAUCUGCCCCUUACUUUGGGAUAAGCCUGGUAAACUGGGUCUAAUACUGGAUAGGACCAUGCUGUAGGUGGUGUGGUGGAAAGAUUAGUUUCGGUAAGGGAUGAGCUCGCGGCCUAUCAGCUUGUUGGUGGGGUAAUGGCCUACCAAGGCGUCGACGGGUAGCCGGCCUGAGAGGGUGGACGGCAACAUUGGGACUGAGAUACGGCCCAGACUCAUACGGGAGGCAGCAGUGGGGAAUAUUGCACAAUGGGAGCAAGCCUGAUGCAGCGACGCCGCGUGGGGGAUGACGGCCUUCGGGUUGUAAACUACUUUCAGCCAUGAAGAAGCCCUUGUGGUGACGGUAGUGGUAGAAGAAGCACCGGCUAACUACGUG
Molecule: ribosomal RNA, 469 nt
Filed under: uncultured bacterium
Lineage: Bacteria
Description: partial 16S ribosomal RNA
Rfam family: Bacterial small subunit ribosomal RNA
Source: RNAcentral